This is a long non-coding RNA of Teleopsis dalmanni, 237 nucleotides long. RefSeq lists it as uncharacterized. The transcript is spliced from 3 exons. Lineage: Eukaryota; Metazoa; Arthropoda; Insecta; Diptera; Diopsidae. The record is from RefSeq and is a predicted model, not a curated record.
UCUAAGAAAAACAGGUAAACGAGUACAAUGACAGCAGUGAUCAAUUUCGCAACUAACGCCACUAAUUCUUCGAUUCUCUUGUCUAUCUUGUCCGCUGCCUUUAGAAUAGACGAGAACAAAAGCCAAUGCUGAAGUGAGGAAUGAAGUUCUUUAAGUUUGUUAUCUCCAAUAAUUGAAUUUUAAUCAAAAAUUCACAUAAUGAAUGUCUUUAUCUCACAUGUGGAUGGAUACUAAAAG